Molecule: transfer RNA, 4257 nt
Filed under: Ovis aries (sheep)
Lineage: Eukaryota; Metazoa; Chordata; Mammalia; Artiodactyla; Bovidae
Description: lncRNA (ENSOARG00000026321.1)
Rfam family: tRNA (bases 641-713)
Source: RNAcentral
CAGAAACAUUUAGUAUUGAUAUUGGGUGACCGUGGUCAAUGAGCUCGCCAAGCUUUUAAGAUGUACCUGGCUGAUUCCGUGCAGCGUGGUGGCAGGUAAACGCAGCAGGGCGAGGACCCGGGUAUCUCCACGCCCUGGCCCAUUUCUUGUCUAUACCAAUAAUGAAAAGUGUGCGGUCACAGUUGGAAGGGGCUACUCCUAGGGCAGGGGGCUUGCCAAAGGGACCACCCUCCAUCGGGAAAGCUGGAACCAGCUGUGGGCGGACUGAGCCCGAGUGCCGAGGAGCUGCGGAGCCCUGGGGGUGGGGGGCGAGCAGCUAUCGCUUCUUUUGACCCCGCUCCGCCGGGCUGCGGGCCAGCCCGACCCCGGAAUCCUGCAGCCGAGACACCGGCUAGUUCACGCUGCCGGGUGUCGACGAUUAAACCAGAGGUUCAGAUUAUACUGGAAAAAAUUAAGUAACGUAUACUAAGCUAUUUAGUCAUGGCUCAUAAAAAGGCAGACUUCUAGGUAUAGCCAUUAAAAAAAGAAAACCAUUUAAUUUGACAAGGAAGAAACACUUUUAAGUGAUUACUGGGAAGAGACGGAAGAAGCCAACGCCAGGAGUUCAGUGAUAGUUUACUCUGAGAGCGACAAAAGGGGCGCCGAAAUAGCUCAGUUGGGAGAGCGUUAGACUGAAGAUCUAAAGGUCCCUGGUUCGAUCCCGGGUUUCGGCAGAGCUUUCCUUUUUCAAUCCAGACAUUCGAAUUUCGUAAAUUCCCUUCUGUAAAGUAGCCUGGCUCAUUAAUUCCGGCGCAGGUAAAGCAUGAGACUUGAAGGGCGAGCGAGAAGUGGAAACAGCCGUUCUGGGGCAACCCUAGGUGGCUUCUCCUCCCGGCCACUUCCGGAGCGUUGGCGUCGGAGGCGCUGCUGCGCGUGCGCAAUGCGGCGCGUGGGGGCUGCAGCCGCCCCGCCCCCGCGGACGGCGCGUGGGGGCUGCAGCCGCCCUGCUCCAGCGGAGAGCCGGAUGUGCAGCGAUCCGGUGACCGCAGCGCCCCCGGGUGGUGAGAGGAGAAUUGCCAUGUGACCUGCUCUAAUAGAUGUCAGACACCAUCAGUUUCCAGUGGUGAAGGCUGAGAAAUACUGAACAUGCGUUGUCUCCUAGGGACCCUCUGAUACCAGGUAUCUCCUGGCUCUUGAUAACAGAUCAGGGGUAGUGUGUAGCUCUUUAUAAAUGGAGAGGGGUGUAAAGGGUGAAAGUGAAGUGUGGAGUCAGCCCUUAUUCCAGAAAAGAAAUGCUUUCAGUGGAAAGAACACCAUCACAUUAAAGAUUUAUAAGACUUAAUGCUCAGCCCAGGUCUUUAUUGUCAGCAGAAAGGUUGUGAAUAUCUCCUCUAGCUUCAAGGCCUUUAUCUUGGGUGGCCAGGGGGAAGGCUUUUUCUCCUGUUUCCUUGGUGAGCUUUUGGAAAAAACCUGGGCCCUCUGGGUCAUCUGAUAAAUUUCUAAUGGACAGGCAAGCGUUGCUAAAUGACUAUCUCUAAUUAUCCCAGACGCUGUAGUCAUUUUAGGUUAGAACUAGGAUGUAAUGAAACUGUUACAGUUGUUACGCACAAUAUAAAACUAGAUUAGCAUUUAAUAAUUCAUUGAGGCUUUUCAUGUAAUCAAUGUGUACAUGCCUUAAUGCCCAUUUUAUUAGUCUUGGGUCCUAUUUCUACUCAUUUAAAUGUAGAGUGGUUUAUAGUUUAGUUUCCUGUUAUAGUAUUUAUCCAUCUCAGACUUAUCUCAUGUUGAAAUCUGACGUUGGUCAGAAAUACAACUCCUGCUGGGAUUGGCCUUCAGUUCUGGGAAUACAUGAAUCCUGCACAAUCAUCCUUAACAGGUGAUGUCAGAAAGGACUGCUUUGUUUAAGGAUAGCUCACUUUGUUUAAAAUCUUGGAGGGUUGUUUGCAGAGUAGUGUUUGGGAGAGGGCCAGCAGACAGCCUGGGGAAUGAAGCAGGACAGUUUGAUGAGGGGCAAGGCUCUUCAUAAAAGAUGCCCAGCUCUCAUGUGAGUUCAAAAAAAUUGAAAAUUUCAUAUAAUGAGUUGUCUUAAAGCAGGGGUGUGCGAAUAUUUGACUGUUACUACCUAAAUAUAUUUUACAGUGCAUUUGGGGCAACCCUGCCUUUACAUACUCCACUGGCCUUCUAGUUCAGAGAAGCAAAGAAUGACCAGAGUUGCCAUUUCCAGAGUGCUGUCCAUGUGCCAGGCAUUCUAAGAUGGGAGUUCGAAUCCUGGGUUGGGAAGAGCCCCUGGAGAAGGAAAUGGCAACCCAUUCCAGGAUUCUUGCCUGGAAAAUCCCUUGGACAGAGAAGCCUGGUGGGCUACAGUCCAUGGGGUCACAAAAGAGUUGGACACCACUUAGCAACUAAAUGGCAAUAAGUGGUAGAUAAGACUAGUUAGUAAAGUUUAUUACAUAGGUUUUUCAGGUGCCAUUUGUGGGCUGAGUAGGGUGUACAUUUGUCUCCGGGGAUUAACUGCUGUCCUCUCUGGUAGAGAGGGAACGGGGAACAUCCUUACAAGUUUAUGUCCUAUUUUUAAGCAAAUGAGGGAGGUCAGAGAGCUUUGCUUAUAUCUGCUUCUUCUCUUCUCAAUUGCCUUUAGCGCAAAAUAAUAAUUUGCCAAAGUGGCAUGUUUGGGGUGGCAUGUUUGGGGUGGCAUGUUUGGGGUGGCAUGUUUGGGGUGGCAUGUUUGGGGCAGCAUGUUUGGAGUGGCAUAUGCUACCCUUGAGGCAGAAUCUGCUACCCUUCAAAAAUAUCUACUGAGAUAUGACUUCUUUGUUUUUGCUAUUGCUGGUAGUUCAUGAAGGAAGAGGGUGGAGUAGAGUGAGGUGCAGAUAUUGCUGGCAGAGAGCGUAAAAAGUGUGGUCUCAGUGGCAUGGAUCCUGUUGUCUCUUAAUCUUAAGUAUGUCUAGAAGCAAUACCAGUAUACCAGUAUACCUGAAUUUUAAAAAGCCUCAGAAUUUUAAAAAGCACUUUGCAUCCUAAGAUAGACCAAGACAACCCCCCAGGGGAUCUCUCUGACUGGUUAGAGUCCCCAUAAUAAAUGAAACUAUCAGCCUUUCCUGAAAGUUAUUAACUCUGUAUUAAAGAUAAUUUCAUUCACAACCAUCUCAAUGUUGUUAUCUGAAGACAGGUAGUAACCUUUGAAGAUAAAAAUACUGUGACAAAAUCACUUCUUCCCACCAUGAACAAACUAACUAUAAAUUUGAUAACACAGCUCAUCUGAGGUAUAGAUGUGGCUUAUUAGAUUUUUUUUGGAUUUAUUUAAGAGUUUCUUUUUUGUUUUCUUUUUAAGCCAGUCUUAAAAAAAAAUUAUUUAUAUAUUUAUUAUUUGGCUGCACCAUGCCUUAGUUGCUGCACGUGGGAUCGAGUUCCCUGACCAGACGGAACCUAACCCUAAUACUGCAUUGGGAGGGUGGAGUCUCAGCCACUGGACCACCAGGGAGGUCCCAAAGCCAGUCUUUUUAAAACUUGGAUUGCCUUAUCUAACCUCUCAGCAAGUAGAUUACUUGUUUUUUAAAAUUCGAAAUGCUUUUCUUAGAGCAAAUGUCUCCUUAAAGAUGGACUCAGUGCCCCUUAAAAUGGAAUCAGUGUUAGAAAAAAAAAAAAAAAAAAAAAAAAAAUUCAAUAGAGUUUCAAGCAAAUUGAAAUGGGUUUAGCUGCUCCUCAGCAUGUGGGAUCUACCUGGACCCAUGUCUCCUGCAUUGGUAGGCAGAUUCUUUACCACUGAGCCACCUGUGAAACCCUGAGCUGAACUUUUAAACCAUAUUUAGUAUCCCAUAAAGUACUGGAGAUAAUCUCACCCAAUAGCAAUGAUGCGUACAUUCCCUAAUUGGAUUGAAUGCUAAGGGAUUUUAAUAUUACAUCCAUAAACUAUAUCUAGAUUUGAACGAUCUAAUCUCUUAUGCUAGGAAUAAUUAUUAACAGAAAAGUUUGGUUUUGUUCCUUUUUUUAACAAAAUGAAGGCCUGAUUUAUUUAGCUGUUGAGAAGGCAGGAAUGGCAUACUGGUAGAGGGUGCAUAGAAACCACUCCAUUGUGAGCAUUGUUUUAUGUCAGGAUGGCAAACUGCUCCUAGAAAAAUGUAGUCAGGUGCCUGUUUAUUCCACAUCUGAUUCUGUUAGCGUCUCCUCAGUUAGUGUCCAUCUUUCAAGUUCUCGCUCACGUUUUGCCUCUCAUGAAGCCCAUUCGCCAUAGAUUAAGCUGCAAUGGAUCGCUCCCAUUUUAAUCUCCCAGUGUGCUCU